Molecule: ribosomal RNA, 594 nt
Filed under: Pituophis melanoleucus
Lineage: Eukaryota; Metazoa; Chordata; Lepidosauria; Squamata; Colubridae
Description: partial 12S ribosomal RNA
Source: RNAcentral
GUAAUAUUAACGGCGUAAAGCACGACUAAUAAAACGUCCUAGUAUUAGGAAAGAAGCUAAACUAGGCUGUAAAAAGCCAUAAGCAACACUAACCACCCUAAUAAAAAACAGAUUCCACUCGUGAAAGCUAGGAUACAAACUAAGAUUAGAUACCUUACUAUGCCUAGCCAUAACACAACAAUUAAAUUACCCAUUGUUCGCCAAAUAACUACGAGUGAAAACUUAAAAUUUAAAAGACUUGACGGUACCUCAAAACAACCUAGAGGAGCCUGUCCAAUAACCGAUACUCCACGAUUAACCCAACCCACCCUAGCCUAACAGUCUAUAUACCGCCGUCGCCAGCCUACCUUAUGAAAGAAACAAAGUGAGCUAAAUAGUCAUACACUAAUACGACAGGUCGAGGUGUAACUUAUGGGUGGGCCAAAGAUGGGCUACAUUUUCUUAAUACAGAAAAUACGGAUAGAUCUAUGAAAUAGAAACUGAAGGCGGAUUUAGAAGUACAAUGGGAACAAUAAACCCAAUAGAAAUUAACGCAAUGAGGUGCGUACACACCGCCCGUCAUCCCUGUUUACACAAACCAAAAACAUACAUAAA